AUUGAAACAUUGGUUCCCCCUGUAUGAUCACCGAAGUUAAUCAAUGUUGGGCCUGGUCACUACCUAGAUGGGUGACCACUUGGGAAUAUCAGGUGAUGUAAG
This is a non-coding RNA of Acanthosepion pharaonis, 102 nucleotides long. The record is from the annotation of a GenBank genome assembly. NCBI's taxonomy places the organism in Eukaryota, Metazoa, Mollusca, Cephalopoda, Sepiida, Sepiidae.